CCCUUAGAUGUUCUGGGCCGCACGCGCGCUACACUGAUUCAUGCAACAAGUUUUGUCCUUGGCUGAUAGGCCUGGGUAAUCUUUGAACGUGAAUCGUGAUGGGGAUAGAUGAUUGCAAUUAUUCAUCUUCAACGAGGAAUUCCUAGUAAACGCAAGUCAUCAGCUUGCAUUGAUUACGUCCCUGCCCUUUGUACACACCGCCCGUCGCACCUACCGAUUGAAUGGUCCGGUGAAAUCUUCGGAUCUGAGAGAUGUCUGAUUAAUUUCGGACGCCUUUUGGAAAAGUUGCUUAAACCUUACCAUUUAGAGGAAGGUGAAGCCGUAACA
RNAcentral lists this ribosomal RNA (327 nucleotides) under uncultured eukaryote. Its description in RNAcentral is "partial 18S ribosomal RNA". It matches the Rfam family "Eukaryotic small subunit ribosomal RNA", at positions 1470 to 1796 of the family's 1831-position model. The record is from RNAcentral.